CCAUGUUUUUUUGGGGGGGGGGGGGCCAAGGGCAGUACUUUUCCGACAAACCGGAAAAUAGUUUCCGACAGAAACAUCGCGAAAAUUUUUUUUAACUGAAAUUUUUUUGGACGACCCCCCCCGUCGCCAAAAAAAUUUCGGUCAGUGUACCAUUUUAGGGGUCAAAAAAUUUUUCCGGACAUACCAAAAUUUUUCGUUACAUUUUAAAAUUUUUCCGGACAUCACCAAUUUUCUCCAUUUAUCCAAAAUUUUCCGAAUAUACCAACGUCGGAAACUUUGACAAUUUCCGACAACGUUGACAAUUUUCCAAAAAUUUCCGACAACAUUCACAAUUUUCCGACGGGUCUCCACAAUAGGGGCAUGGCCCCCCCCCCCGCGCUCAUUACGAGUAACAGCAAAAUCACAACAGCCCAAUAUUUAUUGACGUUUUUAGCGCGGAUUUUGCUUUAGUAAACCUAUCUUGUAAUUACUUUUGAAAAAUAUUGUGUUUUGAGCAAAAUGAAACUACUAACGUGUACAAUUCUGAUCCACAAAUGUCUUUUGCACAUUUCUUUACAUAUCUUUCUUUGAGAACAUGCACUGAUAAAGCAUUUUUUUCAAGAUCCAGAACAACAUUACAACCCGCACGAUGUGUGAAGUAAUUAAAUCUGGAGGUGUUCGUUACCAUAGCAUGGCUGAGCCAGGUGUAGGUUCUGUUGACAGACGCAUGUGUACAAAUUGCGUUAAUGAGCAAGCUGAUUUGAUAUUCUAUACCUCUCUAACCUCUAAUAUUAAUAUUUAAA
Non-coding RNA from Paramuricea clavata, 782 nucleotides. NCBI's taxonomy places the organism in Eukaryota, Metazoa, Cnidaria, Anthozoa, Malacalcyonacea, Plexauridae. The record is from the annotation of a GenBank genome assembly.